UACGGAGGAUGCAAGCGUUAUCCGGAUUUAUUGGGUUUAAAGGGUGCGUAGGUGGAUUGGUAAGUCAGUGGUGAAAGUUUGCAGCUUAACUGUAAAAUUGCCGUUGAAACUGCCGGUCUUGAGUGCAAAUGAGGUAGGCGGAAUGCGUCGUGUAGCGGUGAAAUGCUUAGAUAUGACGCAGAACUCCGAUUGCGAAGGCAGCUUACUGGGAUGCAACUGACGCUGAGGCACGAAAGCGUGGGUAUCAAACAGGAUUAGA
This 259-nucleotide ribosomal RNA is filed under the name uncultured prokaryote. Its description in RNAcentral is "partial 16S ribosomal RNA". It matches the Rfam family "Bacterial small subunit ribosomal RNA", at positions 524 to 782 of the family's 1533-position model. The record is from RNAcentral.